UCCCUAAACCCCAGUAACUACGUCUGAAAUCCAGCCUGCAAUGCCAUUUGACACUACAUUGUAAUAACGUUGGAAUGUAUUACUAAAUAAGUUGCUGCAUAUCUUAGAAUAUUUUGUCAGCUGUAGAUAGGAGUCACAAAGACUUGCUAAAUGUUUUCCAGAGCUUGAGACUCAAGGUCAGACCUAUCCUGUAGAUUUACAAUACCUUAUAUUCUUUGUUUCACAUUAAUUUAAAAAGUAAUGAGAGGAAAUAUUUGUGAAGAAAGCUUUUCCAUUUUUCAGUCUGAGUCAAUUCAUCUGAUAAAUGUUAUUACCUUUUCAUGUAAGCCUUGUUCCUUUUAUAUCCUUAGACUACAAUAACUAUUAUUUUAAAAGCCCCAACAGUACUCACAACAAUAAUAAAUUACAUAAGCUCUGAAUUCCCUUGCAAGGGGUUAGGAAAGUCACUAAGGACAAAGAAUAUCAAUACUUUCCAAUCAAAUACAGUACAAAAGUAACCAUAUAAAAUACAAUCAAAAGGAUUUUUGGUAUACUUUUCCAAAUGUACAACAAGAGGUAACAAUGUAUUGUUUUCCAUUAUAUUUCCUUGUUAUUACUGAAAAUGUAUAUGACAGACAAGAAAACGCCUUUACAAGAAAAUUGGCAUAAAGUUCAGUAGCAGAAGUCGCAGUGAGAAGAGGAUGCUGAAGUGUGUUGAAACCUGUAAGCUUUGAAAUAGGAAGGAGUGUCUUUCAAGAAGCAACAAAGAAAGGCAAGUACUGUUCUGCUACAGUCAAGAAACAGAGAGGUAAAAUGCAUACUCAAAAUAACUACAGAAGCUUCCCACUUGAUUCAAUCUAAGAUUUAUCUCUCAUAUUAUAGUAAAUUCAUAUGUUUAUCCAAGUGUACCAAACAAUAUGUUAAUUCAGUUGUUUAUUUUGGGCUUUCUUGCAGACUUUGGAAAUACUACUCAGUGUGAUGUAAUCAGGACAAGAAAUGCAGCUGGUUGGUUUUGGCUGGAAGAGCCAAUGCAUCUGAUUAUUCAGCUGUGUUUUUAUGCACCAAGAUGUAAUGUUGAUUUACUUUUGACAUCUUGCUGUUUAAUAUGUUAUGAUAAAAUAAACCCUAGUUUACAUUAUGCCAGAAACUGCUGGUUAGAAAGAAAACAAGUAAAACUCGUAAUGAAAGUUUAUUGAGCUUGCUGAAAAGCAUCUUUAAGACACCAACUAACUCAUGUCUUAAUUUUUUUCAUAGCAGGAAGCCAAUUUGCCCCUGUUGGUUGAGAUAAAAUUCCUUCUACGUGCACAAUGGAACUGCUAGUUACUUCCAGUUAGGUGUACACCAGAGCUUAUUUUUAAAGCUGCCAAGUGACAAGCACAUCUUCAGUGACAGACACCAACAAGGUCUCCCUACAGUCAACUUUUACUUAACAGAGCAUAACUACAUGCAAUUUCUGCAUUACCUCGCACCCACCUCUCUCACACUGUCUGAAUCGCAGUCAGUAUUCUUCAGUGUGUACAAUUUGCUGCUGCUGUCCUAUGCUUUCAAUGAGACAGGGAAGAGAUGGUUGUCUUUUGCACCUUUCUGACAAAAAAACCAAAGGAGCUCUGUCACAAGGUCCUUAUCUGUUCUGAACAGCAACAACGGGUGAAGCAGUGUGAAAGGGAGAAAAGCCAUUUCAAAGGAGAGGCAGAACUGUAAUGGAAAAAGGGAGCAAAAACAAAACCAAAGUGGAGACAGUACAAAAAAAAAAAAAAAAGAGAAAAGAUAAAAGGAAAUAAAACGUUAUAGAGACUGGAAGGAAUGGAUUUUAAUCAAGCAUAUUACUGUAAAGAAUGGGCAGAGACAAAGCCAGACAGGAAGUUGCAAAUACUUAAAUUUUGCUUGAAUAAGUUGCUGCUGUUAAAAAACAUAACUAGAUCAGAGAAAUGAACGGUGGGAAUAUUAUUUUAAGAACUUGUUGGUGAACUGGCAUAAACAUCUGUCUUGGUUGUCAAAUAUCAGAUGUUGAAGAUGUUAGCUAAAAUAUUUGCAGAAAUAAAAUAUAUAUAAAAUAGGGACAAAAGUAGAGGUGUUACUCUGCUCUGUUAGAACAUAUCAGGUGCAGUACUAAGUAAUAACUUUUGAGUUUGUUUUUUUUUUUUCUGCUUGGCGGGGCUUUUGUAGUCCAAUGGCUACUUCUUCUACCUAGGCAUAUAUUUAACAAGAUUAAAACCACAAUCAACAGAUCAGCAAACAGAGAGGUAUAAAGGCAACCAGCACAUGGGUCCAGUAUGCAGUGCAGAAGUACAGUGGAGAAGCAUAGGUUAAGAUCUUCGACUUUUCUUGAACUGCAGCAAAAAGGAGCCCUGAGGACAGGAACCCCGUGACCCUCUGCAGUGGUGGCCAGUCAGACUGGCUGUCUGAUCCAGUGUACAGAGGAUCACUGCAAAAUUGUUUGCAUAAUAAUACUAUUGACUGCCCAGAUCUCAUAUAUUUUCUAGUAAGGAAACUUUUGGUUUGAGGUGGUUGGUAAUAUGAUCUCUCCUGUAGUUUAAAUAUUUGUGCCUAACUCCUAAUUUGGGGUAUAGUUGAGGUUAUCUAUAUUUGUAAUUCCUAUCAAGUCAGGAUCAAGUCUACAAAGGAAGCUGCAAAUGUAGCACUGAAGUCCAGGGAGGUAAGCCAAAUGAAAUCUUACUCAAGAAGCAAAGUUCUUUGUAUCCAGCCAGCUGCCAUGCCUUAUACCCUCUAGUAUGCCUAAAGAGAAAUGAAGCGUUAUACCACAUUUACGUUACACUUCCUUGGAUUAACAUCACCAACAGAUGAGAACCGUGUUAUGUAUCAUAUAUGAUUUUUGGUGUGAGAUCUCAGCUACAAAUCUCAUUUAAUGCAUGUUGUAACAAAGUGUUUUGCUAUAAUGUACGCUAUCAUUCCAAUAAAGAUUACAGAUCCCA
Molecule: long non-coding RNA, 2912 nt
Organism: Harpia harpyja (harpy eagle)
Lineage: Eukaryota; Metazoa; Chordata; Aves; Accipitriformes; Accipitridae
Exons: 3
Source: RefSeq, a predicted model, not a curated record